GUGAGGUGUUUAGGUGACAUCUGUGAGUCUAGGGUCACCACUGGUGCUGAGCAGAGGAAGAAGUGAGCAGGAUACAACAGGAUGUGGACAUGAUCUUGGAUUACGUCGCCCACAGAGAAGUGCCUUUUCUGUCUUAAACACACACACACACACAGACACACACACACACACACACACACACACACACACACACACUUGGUCAUUCUUGCCACAGCAUCAGUGGAGAACAGUUGCAGCGUGACAAGACGACUUCUGAAGAAAAAGAAGGACACCCAUAGGUGCUGCUGAGGACAACACUUUACAGUAGAAGAAGAAGAACGGAGAACUGUCGCUGAACAAACCAAGGCGUCCACGAACCCGGAGGGCGUGAUUUAACAGUGGACCAGGAGGUUUCUGCCAGACACGGGGAGACGAAACAGCCAAACUGAGCAGAAUUUCCGGAUGUGAAGUCGGAUGUUGGAGAGUGAAACACCAGUCGCAGAAGUUUUCCAAACUCCCACCGGGACACGUCUCUACGAAGCAGGAAGCUCGUUGGCGGCGACGAAGGUGUAUCUUUCCCGUGCUAAGAAGCGAGCGUUAGCGCUAGCCCAGCUAAAAAGAAGACGAAGAAGAAGGGGAGCAGCAAGGAAGAGGCUGUGGGGGCAGGAGACCGUCAGGUGCAGAGAGCAGCUCCAGACAAAAACAACAUGUUGAUACAGGUGGAAAUCCAUGAAGAAUACAUGAUGGAAGGGAGAAGCGACGUCUGAAGCGGGUCAGCUGCACAUCGUGAUCGGAUCUCAAUCAGACAUCCUGCAGAUUCAGAGGUUCUGCGGCGGCAGUGUCGUCCACUGGUGCUGGCAUGCUGUUGCCAGGUUGGAGGUUCAUUAGAAGAAAAUUCAUCACCUCACCUUCCUUUGCUUCUAAUGAAGUCCAGCCGGUGCCACCUUCAGGCGUCUGGGGCCCCCAGAGGUUGCAGCUUCAGCGGGUAGAAGCGGCUCAUCACUGUCUGGCUGGUGUUAGUGCCCGCUGCAUGAAGCGCAGCGGGAACACACACUCGCUCACCGGUGGGCGCUGGGACAGGCAGACAAUUAAACAGGUCAGCGUGGGGUAACCUCGGCCGGCCUGCGGGGGGCGGUAGACGCGCAGCUGGAGGUAGCAGGACAGGCGAGAACAGCAACACCUCAGACGGACAUGCUCUCUGUUUCACAGGCAGACACUGAGGGACACACACACACACACACACACACACACACACACACAUGCAUCCAGCCAGCAGGAGAGGAAGAUGAUUAAGAAGUUAGACAGAGGAGGAAGAGGAGCACUUCUGGACACUGACCUCAACUCUGAACCUCUGAAACGACACACAGAGUGUUUCACACCUCGGACCACGAACAUGUUCUAAGUGGGAGGAAAAAAAAAGGCAGCAGAAGAGGAGAAAUUGGCAGGAGAACAAAGAGGGAGGAUUCUGCGGACGAUUCAGAGCUGGAGUCACACUGCCAUCAGAUGGACAGAGGACAGAACUGCAGGGCGCAGUAGGACAGAGGAAGGUGGAGUCUUACACCAACUGAACAGUGAACUCCUCAUGUGUGUUAUAUGUGUGUAUUAUGAAUUCUACGGAAGCCCUCAAUGGCCAGCUCCUGUACAUGCCAUAGUGUCUUCAAGGUUUUCUGCACGAAGGGUUUGAAAUAAAAGUAAAGAAAGAACUGAGGAGAAAAAGUGAAUGAAAUCAGUCAUUUUAACAGCCACUUCCUUCUCAGCUCGGUACGAGGGAACAAUUCAACACGGACGGAAGCCGACGGUCUGUGACAGUGAGCCACUAGCACAGUGUCACAACCCUGAAACUGCAGCAGCUACAUCUCCAUCCAGAUUCAUCAUUGUGGCUCCAAUUCUGACAGAAGUGUCUGUAUUUAUGGUCAUGUUAUUGCAGGUGGACCCCCGGAGGUGCCUGUUGUCUCAUUGAGGCAUAGCGGUCCUCGCUGGAGGGGAAGCACAGGAUGCUCGGCCUGACUGUUGCCAAGGUGAUCCAGAGGAUCUCCUGGGAGGAGUGGAGGCUCCACUGUUGGAGGAGGACACAUGGGGCUGAGGAGACGCUCCUCCUCAUCCAGGAUCUCCACGUCACCCUGGACGUCUCUUACCUGGAUUCUCUCUGCAUCCAGGACACAUGGAGACACAGAGGAGCCUCACCUGCAUUCAGGACCCAGCAGGUGCAGCUGUACACAGAGACAGGUAGACUGACAAAGGGCGGGGUCAGCCUUCUGGUUUCCACUUUAACCACUUCAUCCCAGAUAC
Seriola aureovittata is the source of this 2268-nucleotide long non-coding RNA. RefSeq lists it as uncharacterized. The record is from RefSeq and is a predicted model, not a curated record. The transcript is spliced from 14 exons. Lineage: Eukaryota; Metazoa; Chordata; Actinopteri; Carangiformes; Carangidae.